RNAcentral lists this ribosomal RNA (120 nucleotides) under uncultured bacterium. RNAcentral describes it as "partial 16S ribosomal RNA". It matches the Rfam family "Bacterial small subunit ribosomal RNA", at positions 29 to 141 of the family's 1533-position model. The record is from RNAcentral.
AGUGAACGCUGGCGGCAGGCCUAACACAUGCAAGUCGAACGGCAGCACAGGAGAGCUUGCUCUCUGGGUGGCGAGUGGCGGACGGGUGAGGAAUACAUCGGAAUCUGCCCAGUCGUGGGG